Molecule: small RNA, 80 nt
Filed under: Flavobacterium sp. 120
Lineage: Bacteria; Pseudomonadati; Bacteroidota; Flavobacteriia; Flavobacteriales; Flavobacteriaceae
Description: Flavo-1 RNA
Rfam family: Flavo-1 RNA
Source: RNAcentral
UUUUAGCCCUGAUUGAAGUGAAAAUCCUUUUUAUUUUUUCUUUAAAAAUAAAAAGAUUGAAACGGAAAGCAGGACACGAG